This is a long non-coding RNA of Lolium perenne, 664 nucleotides long. RefSeq lists it as uncharacterized. The record is from RefSeq and is a predicted model, not a curated record. Lineage: Eukaryota; Viridiplantae; Streptophyta; Magnoliopsida; Poales; Poaceae.
ACCACCUCCACCUUUGGCUUCAUUUUUCACUCCCCACUCACUCCUCCACCUUAUCUACACCCUCAUAACUCUCUCCUACCACACCCCCACGAAAAUGCUGCUCCUCCUAGCUCCAUGGCCGGCCAUGGCCAUGGAAAGCCACCAAGAUGAAGCUCCCCUCCUCCCUCAAGCUCCCCCUCCCCAUGAGAGCAUUCCUCUCACUCUCUUCUCCCCCAACACUAGCUGGUUUCCUCUCCUCUUCUUCUUCCUCCAUUGCUAAUAUUGGAUCUUGAUGCAGGUGCAUGUUGGUCCAAGCAUGGAGAAGGUUGAGCAAUCCUCAGAUCUGAAGCUCUUGACCAAAAUCCAAAUCAAGUGAUUCAAAGUUCCACAGAUAGGUAUUGAAAAGAUCUACAACUUGGCGUUGGUCUCAUCCUCAAAUUCGUCACGGAUUUUUCAUGAUCAAGAUCUGUUCAGAUCUGGCUUUGUCGAAUUAAACUAGGAGCUUGGAAACGAAUUUUUGAAUGAAACCAAUUGGAUGCGAACAAUUCCGGAGAAGAAGAAGAAGUGGAAUCGGACGAGGAUUUUAUUUAUGUUGUUGGGAUUCUUAUAUUGAUGGAGUUGAAAAAGUAUAGGGACAAAUAAGCCAAGGCAAGCCAUCUUUUGAUCUCUUGCUGUUUAUCCUUCU